AACGCACAUUGCGCCCGCCAGUACUCUGGCGGGCAUGCCUGUUCGAGCGUCAUUUCAACCCUCAAGCCCUGCUUGGUGUUGGGGCCCUACGGCUGCCGUAGGCCCUGAAAGGAAGUGGCGGGCUCGCUGCAACUCCGAGCGUAGUAGAAUGCUAUCUCGCUAUGGAGGCUGCGGCGGCGCUCCGGCCGUUAAAGACCCAUCUUUAACCCAAGGUUGACCUCGGAUCAGGUAGGAAUACCCGCUGAACUUAA
This 251-nucleotide unclassified non-coding RNA is filed under the name uncultured Coniochaetaceae. RNAcentral describes it as "sequence contains ITS2". The stretch from base 1 to 52 matches the Rfam family "5.8S ribosomal RNA", at positions 103 to 154 of the family's 154-position model. The record is from RNAcentral. Lineage: Eukaryota; Fungi; Ascomycota; Sordariomycetes; Coniochaetales.